RNAcentral lists this small RNA (895 nucleotides) under Arabidopsis thaliana (thale cress). RNAcentral describes it as "ATSL294180". Lineage: Eukaryota; Viridiplantae; Streptophyta; Magnoliopsida; Brassicales; Brassicaceae. The record is from RNAcentral.
GUAAAUUUCUAGAGGCCCAAUAGUUAAUUCGAGUAAUGGGCUUAGUAAGUCUCUUCAAUGUUUGAUCGACAAGUACAAGAAUCUUUAUCAACGGUUCGUAAAAAUUGUCUACGGUGAUAGAAAAGAUGAGGCUGUAACUAGGGUUAAAGUAGAUGAUAGCCCGCAAAAAACAGAGUCGGAUAAGAUCAAUUUGGAGGGAAAAAGGAAGAGAGGAAUGUUGCUGGACCAACCUGAGAGACCUCUCAAGAAAAGGAGAAAAUUUGCUAUAAGCUAAUCCAUAAGAAAAAACAAAGGCCGGUCUCAUCAAAAGUACUAAACAACACUUGUGUUGUGUAGAGUUAUGAUAUCUAGGGACAUAAAAAUCUAACCGAUAUCGAGGAAGAUAUGUACAAAUGCGAAGAUCAGAUGUUCGAGGUAGAUAUAUUGAUGGGAGCUCUAACAAGUGUAGUGGAGAGUGCAUAAGAAGUUAUUAAGGGAGAGAUGAAACCAAAAGAUCUUGGAGAGAAGUUCUACAAAUGUGUAGAAAUGUUAUAUGGUGGAGAUAUGUUUGAAAUAGUGACAGAAGAUCAUCAAAGAGUUUUACCUAUGAUCGUGAGCCAGUUGAAACAGAAACUGCGUCAUGUCACGGCUGCAAGAGAGAACUUGAAAUCUGUCUGGAAGCAAACUAUUGAAAAGUUUUCUGCAAAGCAAAGAGGUUCCACUCCACAAGAAUCUCAAGUAAAGACAACAACAAUCUGGUUUUAGAAUGUAAUUUUCAUUAGGUUAAUAUGGUAUUGGUGUUGGUUGUGUUUUUUUUGUUUAGCUAAAUGUAGACAACCGUCUUUAUAGAUUUUAAAUCGGGUAUAUAAUUGUGGUUAUCAGUAUCUAACUUAUUUUUCAACUAAAUUAAUUUUUU